AGCAUGUGGUUUAAUUCGAUGAUACGCGAGGAACCGUUACCUGGGCUCAAAUGUAUGUUGACGUAUUCUGAAGGGAUACUUCUUCGGACAAUAUACAAGGUGCUGCAUGGUUGUCGUCAGCUCGUGCCGUGAGGUGUCGGGUUAAGUCCCAUAACGAGCGCAACCCCUGCAUUCAGUUGCCAUCGGGUGAAGCCGGGCACUCUGGAAGGACUGCCAUCGACAAGAUGGAGGAAGGUGGGGACGACGUCAAGUCAUCAUGGCCCUUAUGUCCAGGGCGACACACGUGCUACAAUGGCCGGCACAACGGGAAGCGAGUUCGCGAGGACGAGCGGAUCCCUUAAAGCCGGUCGCAGUUCGGAUUGAAGUCUGCAACUCGACUUCAUGAAGCUGGAAUCGCUAGUAAUCGCAGAUCAGCCAAGCUGCGGUGAAUACGUUCCCGGGCCUU
This 445-nucleotide ribosomal RNA is filed under the name uncultured Synergistaceae bacterium. RNAcentral describes it as "bacterial SSU rRNA". It matches the Rfam family "Bacterial small subunit ribosomal RNA", at positions 936 to 1382 of the family's 1533-position model. The record is from RNAcentral. Lineage: Bacteria; Thermotogati; Synergistota; Synergistia; Synergistales; Synergistaceae.